AACGAACGCUGGCGGCGUGGAUAAGGCAUGCAAGUCGAACGAGACUUUUCGUUGUAGCAAUACGAUGGAAAGUUUAGUGGCGAACGGGUGCUUAACACGUGGGCAACCUGCCAGGAAGUGGGGGAUAGCUCGCCGAAAGGCGAAUUAAUACCGCAUGUGAUUAGAGAGGACAUCCUUUCGAAAUUAAAGUCGGGGCAACCUGACGCUUCUUGUGGGGCCCGCGGCCUAUCAGCUAGUUGGUGAGGUAACGGCUCACCAAGGCUUUGACGGGUAGCUGGUCUGAGAGGACGACCAGCCACACUGGGACUGAGACACGGCCCAGAAACCUACGGGUGGCAGCAGUCGAGAAUUUUUGACAGUGGGGGAAACCCUGAUCGAGCGACGCCGCGUGGAGGAUGAAGGUCUUCGGAUUGUAAACUCCUGUCAUUGGGGAACAAUGCAUAAAUAUUAACUGUAUUUGUGUUGAUAGUACCCGAAGAGGAAGAGACGGCUAACUCUGUGCCAGCCGCCGCGGUAA
RNAcentral lists this ribosomal RNA (517 nucleotides) under uncultured bacterium. Its description in RNAcentral is "partial 16S ribosomal RNA". It matches the Rfam family "Bacterial small subunit ribosomal RNA", at positions 29 to 523 of the family's 1533-position model. The record is from RNAcentral.